UAACAUUUUAAUAUAGUUCUCAAUCAUUGACCACGGCUCUUUUGGAAUAUUCACAGUAUCAAUAAAGUAGGCUAAAGAAGUUUGUUCAAAUUCUAAUAAUUAAAGACGGAUAGUCUCUGAACAGGUUAGUACAGUCUGUUAACACAGGAUAUAAAUUAUAUGUAAAAAUAAUCGUUAAAAAUCUGUUUACAUUGACAAAAUUUGCAGCUUGAUCAAAUCAAAUCAAAGCAAAAUGUUAUAUAUGAACCAAUUUAGUAUGAAGGAUGUGUCUUGGCUUUAUUGCUCGUUUCGUUUGGCUUGCUGCUCAUUCUUUUGUUAGUUUUACAACUUUAUUGAAGUUAUCUACAUGAUUGUGUGAACGAAAAGCGUCAGCCAUCAGAAUGGCCUUUAUUACAUAGUGGCUAACUAUAUUCCGUUAUUAUUUAACUAUUUAAUAUGUUUGUUACUGCCAUGUGUAGCCCAUGUAGGUACAAUUAUACUACAUUAUUAAAGUAAAAUAUCGUGAACUUGACCAACAUUUCAAAUUAUAAUUGGCGUUUAUUGAAUGUUUAUAUUCAAGGAAAACGUACUGCGUUAUUAUUUGAUUGCAAAUAUAAAGCAGCCUCUUGCGGAGGCGUGGAUGCAUAGGUAAUCAUAGCAACCCAAUAAUACGUGGAUUUGUGAAACAGUGGCGUAGCUAGCCGUCCCGCUGUCCCCCGGGCAGGACUAACAAUUUCAAAAAAAAUGAGGAAAUGUUUUAUAGUGAAGCCAAAAUCACAGCUUUGCUUAUUCUGUAAAUUUAAAUAUUAAUUAUGAUCAUUUUUCAGUGCUUUCAGUUGUCAUUUAUUUAAAGUUUACGAAAUAUUGCUGUCUGCUCUUUGACCUCUUUGUUGUCUAGCAACUGAUACCCUGCAGAAUUAGCUAAUUUCCACGCAAUUUAUUGCUUACUCACGCAAUUCGUAAAUCGCAUGUCACAUGUUCCGCUGAUUUUCAUAUGACGGAAUAUGCAAUACUAUUUUAUACAAGAAAUUCUGGUUUCUGGUUGGAUAAUUGGCGCAGCGCAUGCCCAAAACGGCUGUUUUCAAUGCGGAAGUCCCGCUAUUUUAUGAAGGGGGAGGUUGUUUAAUUAAAUGCUUUAUAUGUCACAAAAUUGGGGGGUUUUUUAUUUUUGAGUAGCGGACAAAAAGUUAGUUAAUAGGUUCUUUAACAUUUUUCGGUUUUCGCUUUUCAUUCACGAGAUAUGAGGCUCUAAACAGCGAUUUUCGUAAAAAUGUCGCGUAUCAACAAGAGUCUGGGACAAGCCUGGUGUGACGUAGCUUAAGGAACUUAAUCACGACGGGCAUUAUACAUUUCUUUAUAUUUUGUAUGUUUUCCAGUACUCAUGGUUCUCAAUGUGACUCAGAAUACAAUUACAUUGCUGGAUAUAUUAUAGAAGAUGAAUCAAAUGAUACCAGUCAUGAAAUUUGAACUCUAGAAGCAGUUGAUAGCGAAAUUUUAGGCGAUUGUGAUGAAUGCCUUUAUGCCGAUGAAUCGCUAGCGAGCGAAGAAUGCUACACGCGAUGGAGCGAUUGCAGAAUACCCGUCCACAUUUGAAGACCUCACUUGUUAUCAUGAUACGAUGAUACGAAGUGAAAAUGAUUACGUAAUAACUAUAUAGCUGCUCUAUUAUAAAAGCCUGGGUAAGCUAUAUUUUUGGCUGAUACGAAGAUACGGUGAUACGAAGGGAAAAUGAUUACGUAAUUACUAUAUAACUGCUCUAUUGUAAAGC
Molecule: non-coding RNA, 1747 nt
Organism: Paramuricea clavata
Lineage: Eukaryota; Metazoa; Cnidaria; Anthozoa; Malacalcyonacea; Plexauridae
Source: the annotation of a GenBank genome assembly